AAAAACAACAUGGUGGGUUCUGCAGAGAAAGGGGGAGCCAAACACAGUCGCUUGUGUGUCACCUCUCGGGAGCAAUGGCCGGCGCUUCUUUUUCUCUCGUCCGUCUCCAACUGUGUUGUAUAUAUAUAUAUAUAGAAAAAAGACGUUAUUGAUUUUCACUUCCUCCAGUCUGUGUGUGUGUGUGUGCUGUCUAGCUCUCUCUGUGCUACGUCGCGGCUGCUGUGGAGGAGAAACAUAAGACGAUCGGUCCCGCGAGAUUCGAAAGAAAAAUGUUUUCCUUUUUUUCUUUCUAUCUGCUCUCGCCUGUAUACAUCUGUGUAGAGCCUGCGUCGUUCCGGAUAAAGACGACGACAGUCUGGCGGAUCAACCAGAUGGAAUAGAACGGAGCGCGGCGGCUGUCUAUAAAAGAGUUGAUUUCCAGUUGUGAGCUGUUGUCUUCUAUAUACGUCUUCCACGCACAUAGCACAUAUAAAGGGACGUAUCAAGUAUUUAUUGUCCAAAAAAAAGAAGAUUGGCCGCACCGGCAACGCCCUGUCGUUUUAGAUUGCGCGCGCUUUUAGGUCGAGAUGUCAAAUAGGCCUAUACAUUAUAUAUAUAGGCUAUACUAUAGAGAGAUAUCCACCCCUUUUUCCCCUAUUCAACACUGGACUCCUCCCCCCUUAUAUUCUACACUAUACCGAGCGCUCCUAGAUUAUAUUUAUAUUUGAAAAAUAGAAAACUCCGAGGACGAGAUAGUCACUCUGGUCGGCCCUUUUUGGAUUUUUCUUUUUUGCACCCCAGCAGCAGCAGCACCGGUUCAAAUGUUCAUCAUUUAUAUUAGAUGUAUUAGGGCCUCCCCCCUGCUUUCUUUUCUUCCUUGUUGUCACUAUAUUUAUAUAUUCAAUGUGAGGAUCCACACACCCCUUGACUUUAUAUUCGUUUAAUAUAUCACAAAAAAAGCUUCGAGACUUUUUCUAACUAGUCACAGCUGCUGCUGGUCUUGGUGAUGGCCUAUGUGGUCGUUCUAUUCGCGAUAAUAGACUCAAAGAGCCUCAUCCCAACAGAAGAGAAGAAAAAAAAAUGACGAUCGUGAGCUGGGAUCAAGUGAUUUCCAUGAAUUUCCAUUUGAUUUUUUCGUGUGUGUUGUUGGUCGGACCCAAAGUCGAUAGUGUGUCUACUCAAAGAUAGAAGAAAAAACACUACCGGUAGCUAUUAAAGAAACACGGGGGGCCCCACACAGCACACAGAGGGUGGUCGAUAUUAUCAUAUAGCUGUUGGGCGUGGCCGCUCUCGUCUGCUGCUCUUCUCGGUUUAAAGAUAUUACGCAUAAUAGAUUGCGCCACACACUCUGCUCUCGCUAAUCCCUCGGCUGCUCCUAUGUUUUCCUUUUUCUAUAGACAGGACAUGUCCGCCAGCAACACUCGCCAUCUAUAUAAUAAUCUAAAACGAAUGGCCGGAGCCCCUUUUAAUCCUUUUUUUAAAUUAUUCAAGAGUGUAAAAGGGAUUUUCAAGUGUCAAAAUAGAUAAGACUUUUUCAAAAAGAGAAGAAGAAGAACUGGCCCUUCGCGCGUUAUAUUUCGGACAGCAGCAAAGUGACGAGUUCAAGCCUUCAAGUGUUUGGCCAGAUCCCCUUAAAAUGUUGAGCUCCCGCGUAUAUAGUAGCCGUAGUAGUAGCCAUAAGAGUUAUAUAUUUCUAUAUAGUGCCCCGCGCAUCUAUAAUGGGAUAAUACAAGAACCUCUUUUGGAUAUCUGACGCUCGUUGAUGAGGGACGCGCACCACUCACAUCAUCUCUCGCGUCCAUUUUUAUUUUUAUAAAUUUUUUAAAAAUAAAAAUUUGGAGGGGCUGUGCUGUUGAGGGCGGCACAGAAGCGCGUGCUGACUAUUAUUUAAGCGGCUGUUGGUUUUAUUUUUCGUUCGGAAAAAAAGACAAAACAAAAAGCAGACGACCUCACACACACGACACCAUCUUGUGACUGGGUUACACUGAACAGAAAGGGCGUAGAUAGAGUGUGUGCAGAGAUAAUAAUAAUAUGAAAUAAGCCCAAAACAGCUGGGAAUAAGAGACUUUUCAUUUGUACAUGAUUUGCCUUUCUUCUUCUUCUUUCAGAGUCAAAGAGUUGCAGAGAUAAUCACAAGUGCCGUGUGAGAGCUAGAGAGAGAGGGGAGGUCUCGCACCCGAUGAUCGACGCCCUCCAUAACCGAACACAGUUGCUCUCCGGCGCUGCAAUUUGAGCAUCAACGGAAAAAGAAG
This 2231-nucleotide long non-coding RNA is filed under the name Daphnia pulicaria. Its description in RNAcentral is "uncharacterized LOC124320810". The record is from RNAcentral. Lineage: Eukaryota; Metazoa; Arthropoda; Branchiopoda; Diplostraca; Daphniidae.